AACGUAGGUGGCAAGCGUUAUCCGGAUUUACUGGGCGUAAAGCGUGUGCAGGCGGGCGAACAAGUGGGGUAUGAAAUGGCUCGGCUCAACCGGGCGAGGUUAUGCCAGACUGUUCUUCUAGAGUGCGAGAGAGGGGCAUGGAAUUCCGGGUGUAGUGGUGAAAUGCGUAGAGAUCCGGAGGAACCCCAGAGGCGAAGGCGGUGCCCUGGCUCGCAACUGACGCUCAGACACGACAGCAUGGGGAGCGAACGGG
RNAcentral lists this ribosomal RNA (253 nucleotides) under uncultured bacterium. Its description in RNAcentral is "partial 16S ribosomal RNA". It matches the Rfam family "Bacterial small subunit ribosomal RNA", at positions 524 to 776 of the family's 1533-position model. The record is from RNAcentral.